Molecule: RNA transcript, 4119 nt
Organism: Olea europaea var. sylvestris
Lineage: Eukaryota; Viridiplantae; Streptophyta; Magnoliopsida; Lamiales; Oleaceae
Gene name: putative late blight resistance protein homolog R1A-3
Exons: 9
Source: RefSeq, a predicted model, not a curated record
CAUAGACACGCCACCCAUUCCUUUUUUACUCUCCGCACUCUUCUUCAACCCUUCCUCAACUCAAUUCCUCCACCCACCUCACAGAACCACCACCUGUUUAAAGUGGGCUGUAAUUUCGUGUUAUAAUACCCAUCCCUGUUUUCCCUCUGUAAUCUUGUUUCAUCCCUUCCCUCCACCACCACUUUUUAAGAUGGGCCGUAAUUUCGUGUUAUUAUCUCUCAAUCAGAUUCUGUGAAGAAAUCAGAGAUGGCUUAUGCUGCUGUAUUAUCUCUCAGUCAGAUUCUGGAGCAGAUAUCAAAUCCUCAUCUAGAACAACACCAGACUCCUCUUCAGGACCAACAAAUUAAAUCUCUCCAGGAGAAGUUGAGUUUCUUACUUGAUUUUCUGGAUGAUUCUUGCCAGAUAAGGAACGAGGAAUUACGACGUUUGGAAAGGGAAAUUCGAGAUGCAGCGUACAAAGCUGUAGGUAUCAUCGAGUCACAUAUGUCAAAAAUUAUUGGUGAGGAAGGUUUCAAAGAAGGACAAGAUGGAGACCAAACUUUUUGUGAUAACUUGGAAGAAGUAACAGGUGAAAUUGAUUCUAUUAAGACAAAGGCGGCUAAGCUUAAGGAACUGUGGGGCGCAACAGAUCUGCACCAGAGCCAGAUGACUUCUUUGCCAACCGUUUUGUCAACACUUGCUUCAAGCGGCGAUAAUGCUAUGGUCGGGGUUGAUAAUGAUUUGAUUCAAAUAAAGGAUCGACUCACUGGAAAUCAAGAUACUCUCCAAGUCAUCUCUAUUAUUGGCAUGGGAGGCAUUGGCAAGACCACAAUUGCUAGAUCUGUUUACAAUGAUCCACUUAUUGAAGAACAUUUUCACACUCGUGCCUGGACAUCAAUUUCUCAUGAAUAUGAUGAGCGAAAAGUCUUGCUGAGACUUCUGGAUUCCAUGGAACUACUCAGUGCUGAAAUGCGUCAUGAAACUAGUACUGAAAAAUUAAGAGAGUAUCUAUAUAAAAGUUUAAAAGGUCGGAGGUAUCUUCUUGUGCUGGAUGAUGUUUGGGAUCCCGAGGCUAUGGAUUCUUUGAGAAGGAUAUUUCCAGACGACAAGAAUGGAAGCCGGAUCAUGUUGACAACACGCAUGUCGAGUGUGGUUGACCCCCAUCACUCUUCCCAUCAUAUGCAAUUUCUAAAUGAGACGGACAGUUGGAAUCUACUUUGUCAGACGGUGUUUGGGGACGAUUCUUGCCCUCGUGAACUGGAGGAAACUGGAAAGAAGAUUGCACAAAAUUGCAAAGGACUUCCACUUUCCCUUGUCGUGAUUGGCGGCCACCUUUCCAAAGCCAACAGGACAAAAGAUCACUGGGAGUAUGUUGCAGAAAAUGUCAAGUCAGUUGCAACUGCAACAGAUGCAAACUGCUCAGAAAUACUAUCUUUAAGUUACGAUUACUUGCCUCAUCAUCUCAAAGCAUGCUUACUUUAUAUGGGAAUUUUUCCAGAAGAUGAUGAAAUCCGUGUCUCCAAACUCAUCAAGUUAUGGGUUGCAGAGGGAUUUAUAGAACCAGUCAGACAUAGAACCCUGGAAGAAUUGGCAGAGGAAUAUUUGGAAGAGCUAGUUUCCAGAAAUCUUAUUUUGGUUCGUGAGAGGAGUUCUAGUGGAGAGAUAAAAACCUGUGGCAUCCAUGAUAUGACAAGGGACCAGUGCUUAAGAAAAGCUGAGGAGGAGUUUUUUCGAGUCACAGAUAAAGAUUUCAACGUUUUUCACAAUGAAUUGUCGAACAGUGACAAUUCAAAUGUCAAUCCAUCCAUGGAAUCCUUUCCACCAGUCCAUGCUACUUUGUGUUCUGAUUUUGCUAGCGAGAUUUAUGAAUCAGGUGAUGGAGAACGUUUUCCACUGAACAGGGUGUUGGAUCUUGCUGAAGGAAAAGUAGAUGGUUUCCCAAUUGGAGAAAUAAAAUUAGUUCACUUAAGGUACCUUGCUUUCUCCUGUGAUGGGAAAAUUUCCAUACCUAAACCAUUACCUGAUUUUCUUUGGAAUCUACAGACCUUAAUUGUAGAUUGCAAAGAAGUAAAUCUUCCAGAGGAAAUAUGGAGGAUGCCACAGUUAAGGCAUCUCCUGUUCGGGAUGUGUUACUUGCCAUGCCCUACUAGAUCACAAAUAGAUGGGGAGAAUUUAGCUCUAGAAAACCUUUUAACAUUGUCGAAAGUGAGUAGUUCCAGCAGUACCAAGGAGAUCUUUGAAAGAGUUCCAAAUCUAAAGAAGUUAGGAAUUUUGAUUGAAGAUUUGAAAAUGACUCCCUUUUCUCUAGGUAAUUUGGUUAAUCUUCCUCAACUCGAGACUUUGAAACUCAUAAGCGAAUAUAGACAUGUUAGAGUCCCUCCGAAUUUCACUUUCCCACCAAAUAUUAAAAAGUUAACUUUAGAGGGUUGCAGAAUUCCUUGGAAACAUAUGACUAUUGUUGGUUCAAUGCCCAAUCUAGAAGUGCUCAAACUGCUACGUAACUCCUUUGUUGGGCCAGAAUGGGAGCCAACGGAAGGAGAAUUUCGCAAAUUAAAAUUUCUGCUACUUCGCGAAAUAGAUCUAGUGCAUUGGAAGGCUGAUGACACUCGCUUCACACGGCUUGAGCACCUAAUUCUUAGGCAGUGCUUCGAACUAAAGGAGAUCCCUUGUAGUAUUGGAGAUAUACCAACGCUUCAAAUCAUUGACUUGGAUGACGCUAGCCCUUCAGCUGUGACUUCGGCAAAGCAAAUACAAGAAGAACAAAAGAACUGGGGAAAUGAUAGCCUUCAAGUUCAUGUCCAUUACAUAAUCGAAAACAUCUACCGAGUGAGAAAGGAAGCGGAGGCUGAAAUUAUAGUUGGGUCAAAUGCCGACACACUGCUACUUAAGGCUACAAAACAGUUCUACACACUUCUUUUACAUGACCCAAUUAAGGAAGUAACACCUGGAGUUGUUCCUCGACUCUUUGAGUUUCUCGAUAGAGAUGAUUACCCGCUACUUCAGUGUGAGGCAGCAUUGGCUAUAACAAGUAUUUCAAAAUGUUCAUCUGAUAACAUCAACAUGCUGAUUGAUUGUGGCGCGGUUCCCAUUUUUGUGCGACUUCUAAGUUCUCCCGAGGAUGUUCUUCGCGAACAGGCACUUGAGGUGUUAGGAUAUUUUGCCCGUGACUCAACAAAAUCUCGUGAUCUUGUCCUUACUUAUGGAAUAUUAAUGCCCUUAUUGGCACAAUUUAAUGAUAAAACAAAACUAUCCAUCAUGAGAAAGGCAACGUGGACAUUGUCAAACCUUUGUCAGGGAAAGCCACUGCCUCAGUUCGACCAGGUGAAAUCUGCCCUCCUUCCUCUUGCUCAUCUGAUUCAUACAGAUGAUAAAAAAGUCCUUAAAUAUGCAUGCUUGGCAUUACUCAAUCUAACUGAUGGAACAAAGGAUAUAAUUCAAGCUGUGAUAAAUGCUGGUGUUUUUCCUCGCUUGGUUGAACUUUUACUAUAUCCUUCGCCAUUAGUUUCUAUUCCUGCCAUGUGCACUGUUGGUAAUAUUGUUUCAUAUGGAGAUGAUAUCGAUAUUCAGGAAGAGUGUCAAAGAGACCACUUGUUGGAUCAUUUCAAGAAUCAUUCAACGGACUAAGGAUCAUAUUCAGCUAUGCAAAUCACUAUGGAAUUGUUUUUGCCUUUGUGGUUUAAUUGGAACGUCAGACGCAGCGGCACCAUCAAUUGAACAGAAUAUUUGAACAAUCCAUGUUUCAAGCUUUUCUAAUGAGUUAGCAGGUGUCAGGCAAACAAUAAACCUAUUGAGAUCAUUAAUGUAAUAGAGAUACUGACUCCCUACUUGUUUCCUCUAUCUCUGUUCGAAGUUGUCAAGACAUUCCAAGCUAUAGGCCUUCAAACGAGAAUGAAUGUCGUGGCUGGAUUCCUAGGACCACCAUUUGCAAUGGAGAAGCCAGAAAAUCAUUCAUCAACUCAUCACAGAUUUCCAGAGAACUUGAAUGAACAAAUCUUUUUGUGUGCGCAGGAUCCCAUUGUCCCAAACGACCACUUCUAAACCUUAGAAAUGAGUAUGGUUUUAUGUUCAAAGAAGUUAUCAUGCAAUGCUUUCUACCAAAGAACAGAAUAGGGAAUGUCUGGUAAAAUUCCCUGACAUCAA